ACCUUCGGGCCUUGCGCUAUCAGAUGAGCCUAGGUCGGAUUAGCUAGUUGGUGAGGUAAUGGCUCACCAAGGCUACGAUCCGUAACUGGUCUGAGAGGAUGAUCAGUCACACUGGAACUGAGACACGGUCCAGACUCCUACGGGAGGCAGCAGUGGGGAAUAUUGGACAAUGGGCGAAAGCCUGAUCCAGCCAUGCCGCGUGUGUGAAGAAGGUCUUCGGAUUGUAAAGCACUUUAAGUUGGGAGGAAGGGUUGUAGAUUAAUACUCUGCAAUUUUGACGUUACCGACAGAAUAAGCACCGGCUAACUCUGUGCCAGCAGCCGCGGUAAUACAGAGGGUGCAAGCGUUAAUCGGAAUUACUGGGCGUAAAGCGCGCGUAGGUGGUUCGUUAAGUUGGAUGUGAAAUCCCCGGGCUCAACCUGG
RNAcentral lists this ribosomal RNA (423 nucleotides) under Pseudomonas fluorescens. RNAcentral's name for it is "bacterial SSU rRNA". It matches the Rfam family "Bacterial small subunit ribosomal RNA", at positions 208 to 617 of the family's 1533-position model. The record is from RNAcentral. Lineage: Bacteria; Pseudomonadati; Pseudomonadota; Gammaproteobacteria; Pseudomonadales; Pseudomonadaceae.